UACGUAGGGUGCGAGCGUUGUCCGGAAUUAUUGGGCGUAAAGGGCUCGUAGGCGGUUUGUCGCGUCGGGAGUGAAAUCCACUGGCUUAACUGGUGGCUUGCUUUCGAUACGGGCAGGCUAGAGUUCGGCAGGGGAGACUGGAAUUCCUGGUGUAGCGGUGAAAUGCGCAGAUAUCAGGAGGAACACCGGUGGCGAAGGCGGGUCUCUGGGCCGAUACUGACGCUGAGGAGCGAAAGCGUGGGGAGCGAACAGG
This 253-nucleotide ribosomal RNA is filed under the name uncultured bacterium. RNAcentral describes it as "partial 16S ribosomal RNA". It matches the Rfam family "Bacterial small subunit ribosomal RNA", at positions 524 to 776 of the family's 1533-position model. The record is from RNAcentral.